GGGGCUGUGGCUCAGUGGUAGAGCAUCUCCUUAGGAUGCAGAAGGUCCCAGGUUCAAUCCCUAACAUUUUUA
This 72-nucleotide transfer RNA is filed under the name Sphaerodactylus townsendi. Its description in RNAcentral is "tRNA-Pro". It matches the Rfam family "tRNA". Rfam says of the family: Transfer RNA (tRNA) molecules are approximately 80 nucleotides in length. Their secondary structure includes four short double-helical elements and three loops (D, anti-codon, and T loops). Further hydrogen bonds mediate the characteristic L-shaped molecular structure. tRNAs have two regions of fundamental functional importance: the anti-codon, which is responsible for specific mRNA codon recognition, and the 3' end, to which the tRNAs corresponding amino acid is attached (by aminoacyl-tRNA synthetases). tRNAs cope with the degeneracy of the genetic code in two manners: having more than one tRNA (with a specific anti-codon) for a particular amino acid; and 'wobble' base-pairing, i.e. permitting non-standard base-pairing at the 3rd anti-codon position. The record is from RNAcentral. Lineage: Eukaryota; Metazoa; Chordata; Lepidosauria; Squamata; Sphaerodactylidae.